UGCCGGGUCGUCUAAUGGCAGGACAAUAGCCUCUGGAGCUAUCUAUCUUGGUUCGAGUCCAAGCCCGGCAG
This 71-nucleotide transfer RNA is filed under the name Candidatus Taylorbacteria bacterium RIFCSPLOWO2_02_FULL_46_40. RNAcentral's name for it is "tRNA-Gln". It matches the Rfam family "tRNA". Rfam says of the family: Transfer RNA (tRNA) molecules are approximately 80 nucleotides in length. The record is from RNAcentral. RNAcentral also lists the same sequence under 1 other name. Lineage: Bacteria; Candidatus Tayloriibacteriota.